Molecule: non-coding RNA, 28 nt
Filed under: Mus musculus (house mouse)
Lineage: Eukaryota; Metazoa; Chordata; Mammalia; Rodentia; Muridae
Source: RNAcentral
UGAUCACACUUGCUCACUCACGAUGAUC